RNAcentral lists this long non-coding RNA (250 nucleotides) under Lathyrus oleraceus (garden pea). RNAcentral's name for it is "Pisum sativum (pea) long non-coding RNA (PSAT_LNC034664)". Lineage: Eukaryota; Viridiplantae; Streptophyta; Magnoliopsida; Fabales; Fabaceae. The record is from RNAcentral.
UUAAAUAUGGACAAUCUAUCAACACCUCAGAGUGUCAUGAAUGAUUCAUUGAUCAUUCAUUAACAUGUUUGAACUGUUGAAGAUUAAAUCAACCCUAAGACCAAUUAUCAUGACCAAUAAAAUAUAAUCAACCAAUGGCUAAAUACAAGGGUAAAAAUGUCUAAUUAAAAUGGUAAAAAUAAAAUGACUAAUGGAUAAAUAAAAUAUGGAUGUUUGAUGAAAAUUAUUUACAACAAUAUUGGAUUAAAAA